RNAcentral lists this ribosomal RNA (460 nucleotides) under uncultured bacterium. RNAcentral describes it as "bacterial SSU rRNA". It matches the Rfam family "Bacterial small subunit ribosomal RNA", at positions 340 to 789 of the family's 1533-position model. The record is from RNAcentral.
UACGGAAGGCAGCAGUGGGGAAUAUUGCACAAUGGGCGAAAGCCUGAUGCAGCUAUGCCGCGUGUAUGAAGAAGGCCUUAGGGUUGUAAAGUACUUUCAUCGGGGAGGAAAAACAAAACUAAUAAUUUUAUUUCUUGACGUUACCCGAAAAAGAAGCACCGGCUAACUCCGUGCCAGCAGCCGCGGUAAUACGGAGGGUGCUAGCGUUAAUCAGAAUUACUGGGCGUAAAGAGCACGUAGGUGGUUUUUUUAAGUCAGAUGUGAAAUCCCCUGGGUCUUAACCUAGGAACUGCAUUUUGAAACUGAAAUACUAGAGUAUCGUAGAGGGAGGUAGAAUUCUAGGUGUAGCGGUGAAAUGCGUAGAUAUCUGGAGGAAUACCUGUGGCGAAAGCGGCCUCCUAAACGAAUACUGACACUGAGGUGCGAAAGCGUGGGGAGCAAACAGGGAUUAGAUACCCGU